Molecule: long non-coding RNA, 461 nt
Filed under: Capsicum annuum
Lineage: Eukaryota; Viridiplantae; Streptophyta; Magnoliopsida; Solanales; Solanaceae
Description: long non-coding RNA (CANN_LNC003718)
Source: RNAcentral
AAUAUCAAAAGAUGCAAUUCCUCACUUUUGCAAAUGCAAGAUGCUACACAUGUUUACUAAUCACAAUCAUAGUGAAAACUCAUCAUCAUUUACCUCUAGGAGACACACUCCCUUGUCUGGGUAUUUCAGUUUUUAUUUGUUAGGGAACACAUUUUUUAACUUGAACCAUCACUCCUAGAAGACGCACUUUCUAGUCAAGUCAUUUCAUUUAACCUCUAGGAGACGCACUUCCUGGCCUGAAUAAGUCAGUUUUCAUUUGUUAGGUGAAGCACUUCCUAACUAGAACCAUCACUCCUAGAAGACGCACUUUCUAGUCGAGUCAUUUCAUUUAACCCUUAGGAGACGCACUUCCUAGUCUGAAUAAGUCAAUUUUUUAUUUGUUAGGGAACACAUUUCCUAACUUGAACCAUCACUCCUAGAAGACGCACUUUCUAGUCGAGUCAUUUCAUUUAUCCCCUAGG